RNAcentral lists this ribosomal RNA (2318 nucleotides) under Triticum aestivum (bread wheat). RNAcentral describes it as "partial small subunit ribosomal RNA". The record is from RNAcentral. Lineage: Eukaryota; Viridiplantae; Streptophyta; Magnoliopsida; Poales; Poaceae.
GGAAUAUAUAGCACGCUGCCGUGACCGCGAGGCCGGCAGUGGGUGCGUAUGUAUGCGUGAUCGAGCCGUGGCCGAGAAGCAAGGAUGUCAGGCUCGUCAUCACGACAGCGAACUAGGUGAAGAUCUUUCAAAAUUGUUAAGAAUAAUUAACUCAUCGUUAAUUAGGGGAUAAUCCCCGCUCUCCCCGUGCAUGUAAUUGCAGGAUGUGGGAACCGUCACAACGGUUUCUCCCUGGAGCGUCGCCUCUUGGAACCGUCGUCUCCUUUGAGACGUCUGUACAUGUUGUAUAUAAAGGAUCCUACACUAUCAAUAAAGACUACUUGAUUCACUUUACAACCCUCUCGAUUGUUCUCUGUCGAUCUCUCUCUCAAACACGUCAUCAGCACGCUCCCGCACGGCGACUCCAGCGGCGCCCUGCCUGCGACGGCUUUGGCGCACGUCCAGGCCGCAUCCUGGCGGAUGUGCGUGGAGAGCCCUUCCCUGGAGGUGGCGUCCGAGGCCACGACUCUCGUCCGGCCAUCCGCAACUACUUCCUUCGGUGCGCGUGCCUGAGGAAACAGGCGCACAACUCUCCCGAGAGAGAUGCCACACGAGAAGAACGGGGCGAAUAUCACCGUCCCCGAUGGAGAGCGGCAGCAAAUCCGACGAACAAACUCCAAGAUGGGAAGAAGAAGAAGAGAAUCGGAGACUAGAGUCAAGCACCACGCAAAUUGGAGUACCAACUUCAUCUAAUUGCUACAGAGAAACAAGGUGCUACUUUUUCCAAUUUUCUUCAUGGCUACACAAAUUUGCUUUACCAUGAACAGAAUCUUGCCUUACGCUGGACGAAGGACGAAGGCAUUCACGGCAAGAGACAUCGCUUGGUUUCAGUCCCCGCUGGACCAAGACGCCGGCUCCAGCGGCUUCGUCUCCUGCCGCGCCGCCGGAUCACACCUCCGCGUUGAGUCCUGCCGCCACCAAUGGCGCUCUCCGGCGGCACGUCGCGGCAAGACAUAGCGACCAGGCGGCCUCCCGCACAGCCCGAAGCGGCGGCGUCUGGGCGUCUCAAGCCCGUGACGGCGCUUUCCAGCGCCCUGCGGCGGCGACUUCCGGCACGGCAAGAUCCUCCCUCUCCUUUCUCCGGCGAGCCCUCGAGGCCGCUCGAGACGGCGCUAGAAAAAUCCCCAUCGCGGAACCGCACAGGAGAGAGAGUAGAGGCAACCUUAUCCCUUUGCCAUUUUUGCAUGCAGGUCCCUGUUUUUGCGAAAUUUGCAAAAUGGGUAAAACAGUGGUCCAGGCUAAUUUUGAACAAUACUAACAGUACUAUUUACCACUGAAAAAAAUAGCACGCUGUAACCUCGCUAAUAGCACGCUUUAGCAUCUUGAGAAUUGUCUCGCUAAAUAUAUCAGUGUACAACGUCUCGCUAAUAGCACGCUAUAGCAUGAUAUAGCACGCUAAUAGCAUAUUUUGAGGUCGGCGCUAUUUUGCUGUAGCACGCUAUUUUUUUCAUUGCUAUUUACUAGUAUUUGCCUGUUUUAGACCCUGUUAAUUACUGUAUUUUCUGUUGAGUUCUAAAAUUCCAGAAAUAUGUGUAUGUUGAUACUUGACAUGCAUUUUCUGUUGAGUUUUAAAAUUCUAGAACAAGUUUUCCGCGAUUGAGCUUAAGUUUUCUCGCACAACAAUAUAGAUUUGCGAUUGAGAAUUAUCAUUUUCUCGCAAAACAAUCUCAUUGCGAUUGAGAUCAAUUUUCUCUCGCAAAUUAUUAAUUCACCUCGCUGAAUUAUCUUGCAACUUGAUACAAGAUCAUCUCAUUUUAAUUUGAGGUCUAUACAAUUCAAGUUUUUCACUUGAACAUCAAGUUUGCAACAUCAUUACUAUUCAUUACGAUAGUAGUGUGUAUCUAUUGAGUACCGAGAUGUAUUCCAGAUCUUAAGUUGAUGUAAUAUAUUUCCACGUUUACCACGUGUUGAGAUUAGUUACGUUCAUUUGCAAUUGAGAUUUCUCAUCUCUUGCAAAGAUAAAUUCAGUACGUCUAUAGUACUGUUUCUCCGUUGAGUACGAUGUAUUCUGGAAUAUUUCUAUGAUGUAUCUAUUUCCAUGUUAAACACGUGUCGAGAUUAAUACUUCUAUUUGCAAUUGAGAUUUUCAAUUCCUUGCAAAUACAAAUGCAAAAUUCAAAGUGAUUUCGUCAAAUUGAUGCUUGGGAUCACAAGGUAGUCAUAUGGAUCUACUGCCUACACAGAUUAUCGAUGACUACUGAUAAAGCCUAUAUUUUAUCAUAUUUGACAUUAUGAUUGCACAACAUUGUGCACUCCCAUGCAUUUUACUAAGUCAUGAC